UACGUAGGGGGCUAGCGUUGUCCGGAAUCAUUGGGCGUAAAGCGCGCGUAGGCGGCCAGAUAAGUCCGGUGUGAAAGUCAAAGGCUCAACCUUUGAAUGCCGCUGGAAACUGUCUGGCUUGAGUCCGGAAGGGGCGAGUGGAAUUCCUGGUGUAGCGGUGAAAUGCGCAGAUAUCAGGAGGAACACCAGUGGCGAAGGCGGCUCACUGGACCGGAACUGACGCUGAGGCGCGAAAGCGUGGGGAGCAAACGGG
Molecule: ribosomal RNA, 253 nt
Filed under: uncultured bacterium
Lineage: Bacteria
Description: partial 16S ribosomal RNA
Rfam family: Bacterial small subunit ribosomal RNA
Source: RNAcentral